GACGAACGCUGGCGGCGUGCUUAACACAUGCAAGUCGAACGGAAAGGCCCUGCUUUUGUGGGGUGCUCGAGUGGCGAACGGGUGAGUAACACGUGAGUAACCUGCCCUUGACUUUGGGAUAACUUCAGGAAACUGGGGCUAAUACCGGAUAGGAGCUCCUGCUGCAUGGUGGGGGUUGGAAAGUUUCGGCGGUUGGGGAUGGACUCGCGGCUUAUCAGCUUGUUGGUGGGGUAGUGGCUUACCAAGGCUUUGACGGGUAGCCGGCCUGAGAGGGUGACCGGCCACAUUGGGACUGAGAUACGGCCCAGACUCCUACGGGAGGCAGCAGUGGGGAAUAUUGCACAAUGGGCGGAAGCCUGAUGCAGCAACGCCGCGUGCGGGAUGACGGCCUUCGGGUUGUAAACCGCUUUCGCCUGUGACGAAGCGUGAGUGACGGUAAUGGGUAAAGAAGCACCGGCUAACUACGUGCCAGCAGCCGCGGUGAUACGUAGGGUGCGAGCGUUGUCCGGAUUUAUUGGGCGUAAAGGGCUCGUAGGUGGUUGAUCGCGUCGGAAGUGUAAUCUUGGGGCUUAACCCUGAGCGUGCUUUCGAUACGGGUUGACUUGAGGAAGGUAGGGGAGAAUGGAAUUCCUGGUGGAGCGGUGGAAUGCGCAGAUAUCAGGAGGAACACCAGUGGCGAAGGCGGUUCUCUGGGCCUUUCCUGACGCUGAGGAGCGAAAGCGUGGGGAGCGAACAGGCUUAGAUACCCUGGUAGUCCACGCUGUAAACGGUGGGUACUAGGUGUGGGGUCCAUUCCACGGGUUCCGUGCCGUAGCUAACGCUUUAAGUACCCCGCCUGGGGAGUACGGCCGCAAGGCUAAAACUCAAAGGAAUUGACGGGGCCCCGCACAAGCGGCGGAGCAUGCGGAUUAAUUCGAUGCAACGCGUAGAACCUUACCUGGGUUUGACAUGGAUCGGGAGUGCUCAGAGAUGGGUGUGCCUCUUUUGGGGUCGGUUCACAGGUGGUGCAUGGCUGUCGUCAGCUCGUGUCGUGAGAUGUCGGGUUAAGUCCCGCAACGAGCGCAACCCUUGUUCACUGUUGCCAGCACGUUAUGGUGGGGACUCAGUGGAGACCGCCGGGGUCAACUCGGAGGAAGGUGGGGAUGACGUCAAGUCAUCAUGCCCCUUAUGUCCAGGGCUUCACGCAUGCUACAAUGGCUGGUACAGAGAGUGGCGAGCCUGUGAGGGUGAGCGAAUCUCGGAAAGCCGGUCUCAGUUCGGAUUGGGGUCUGCAACUCGACCUCAUGAAGUCGGAGUCGCUAGUAAUCGCAGAUCAGCAACGCUGCGGUGAAUACGUUCCCGGGGCUUGUACACACCGCCCGUCAAGUCAUGAAAGUUGGUAACACCCGAAGCCGGUGGCCUAACCGUUGUGGGGGAGCCGUCGAAGGUGGGACUGGUGAUUAGGACUAAG
RNAcentral lists this ribosomal RNA (1450 nucleotides) under uncultured organism. RNAcentral's name for it is "16S ribosomal RNA". It matches the Rfam family "Bacterial small subunit ribosomal RNA". The record is from RNAcentral.